RNAcentral lists this unclassified non-coding RNA (691 nucleotides) under Saxifraga acerifolia. RNAcentral describes it as "partial miscellaneous RNA". The stretch from base 293 to 448 matches the Rfam family "5.8S ribosomal RNA". The record is from RNAcentral. Lineage: Eukaryota; Viridiplantae; Streptophyta; Magnoliopsida; Saxifragales; Saxifragaceae.
GGAUCAUUGUCGCCGCUCGCCCAAGCAGAACAACUCGCGAACACGUAAUCGCAACCGACGAACCUAGGGGCCGCGGCCUUCGGCAGGCGCCCUCUGUUCCCAACGCCGAGGCACGCCCUGUAACAUCGCAGCCCGUCGACGCUCGUCGUCCGAGUUGCGUUUGCACGGCCUGACUCGGCACAAACAAAAACCCGGCGCGAAAUGCGCCAAGGAAAUUAAAAGAACGUGCAUCCGUCCCGUGUUGUGCUUGCACAAUACUCCGGAACGGUGUUAUCUUCUUGAUGUCUAUAAUGACUCUCGGCAACGGAUAUCUCGGCUCUUACAUCGAUGAAGAACGUAGCGAAAUGCGAUACUUGGUGUGAAUUGCAGAAUCCCGUGAACCAUCGAGUCUUUGAACGCAAGUUGCGCCCGAAUCCAUCCGGUCGAGGGCACGUCUGCCUGGGCGUCACGUACACGCGGCUCCGCCGACUCUCUCCUUUAAGGUUUGACGGGACACGGGCGAGCAGAGAUUGGUCUCCCGUGCUCUUAAAUUGCGCGGUUAACCCAAAUGCGAGUGCCGGCGGUGAAGUUUCACGCCAAGUGGUGGUUCAUAAACCUUCUAGGUUUCGCCAGUCUGAACCGUGAAAGCCCAUCGCUCGGAAAGCUCGAUAGACACCUCGAACGUCUAAUCUGACGCUACGUCGCGACCCCA